GGUGGAUACCAUAAACAUGUAAGGGUACUAUCGGGAUUGGUUGUUGCCUUCUCCACUGUAGGAGGGCCGGGCAGAGACGCUUCACCAAGAGAAUUUUUGAGGAGAAAAAUGCCUGGGGCCUUUUCUUCCCACUACCUACUCCAGUGGAGGCUUCCCGUCAGAAAGGAGCAAAUCUGAGGACUUCCCUUGUGGCUCACAACAGAAAGGAGCAAAUCUGAACAUUUUAAAAAAAAUCAAACUCGGGUAAUUAAUACUGACAACUUCCCUAGACAUCUUGUCUAAAGUUGUAAACCACCUUCCACCAAAAUCCCCUCUCUCCUUUCCUGCUUUAUUUUUCUUCUUAAUACUCAACACUAAAAUUCCAUAUACUUUACUUAUUUUUUCCUUGUUUGAUAUCUGAUCACACUGGAAAGUAAGUUUUAUGCCGACAAGGAGUUUGCUAUUGUUAAAAAACAGCUAUAUUCUCAGUGUCUAAAGAGUGACUAGCACAGAGUAGAUGGUCAAUAAAUGCAUAUUAAGUGAAUGAACA
Molecule: long non-coding RNA, 529 nt
Filed under: Sus scrofa (pig)
Lineage: Eukaryota; Metazoa; Chordata; Mammalia; Artiodactyla; Suidae
Description: lncRNA (ENSSSCG00070003281.1)
Source: RNAcentral